GCACAAGCGGUGGAGCAUGUGGUUUAAUUCGAUGCUACGCGAAGAACCUUUACCUGGGCUUGACAUCCCGGGAAUCCUCCAGAGAUGGAAGAGUGCCCUUCGGGGAACCCGGAGACAGGUGCUGCAUGGCUGUCGUCAGCUCGUGUCGUGAGAUGUUGGGUUAAGUCCCGCAACGAGCGCAACCCUCGCCUUUAGUUGCCAGCAUUCAGUUGGGCACUCUAGAGGGACUGCCGGUGUCAAACCGGAGGAAGGUGGGAUGACGUCAAGUCCUCAUGGCCUUUAUGUCUAGGGCUACACACGUACUACAAUGGCCGGUACAAAGGGCAGCCACUCAGCGAUGAGGCGCUAAUCCCAUAAAGCCGGUCUCAGUCCGGAUCGCAGUCUGCAACUCGACUGCGUGAAGUUGGAAUCGCUAGUAAUCGUGGAUCAGAAUGUCACGGUGAAUACGUUCCCGGGUCUU
This 460-nucleotide ribosomal RNA is filed under the name uncultured Desulfovibrio sp. RNAcentral's name for it is "bacterial SSU rRNA". It matches the Rfam family "Bacterial small subunit ribosomal RNA", at positions 923 to 1382 of the family's 1533-position model. The record is from RNAcentral. Lineage: Bacteria; Pseudomonadati; Thermodesulfobacteriota; Desulfovibrionia; Desulfovibrionales; Desulfovibrionaceae.